GCCCUGGUGGAGCAAUAGUUAAGCACUUAGCUGCUAACCAAAAGGUUGGUGGUUCGAACCCACCCAACGGCC
Molecule: transfer RNA, 72 nt
Organism: Loxodonta africana (African savanna elephant)
Lineage: Eukaryota; Metazoa; Chordata; Mammalia; Proboscidea; Elephantidae
Rfam family: tRNA
About the family: Transfer RNA (tRNA) molecules are approximately 80 nucleotides in length.
Source: Rfam